This 434-nucleotide ribosomal RNA is filed under the name uncultured bacterium. RNAcentral's name for it is "partial 16S ribosomal RNA". It matches the Rfam family "Bacterial small subunit ribosomal RNA", at positions 29 to 507 of the family's 1533-position model. The record is from RNAcentral.
AGCGGACGCUGGCGGCAGGCCUAACACAUGCAAGUCGAACGAACCUUUCGGGGUUAGUGGCGGACGGGUGAGUAACACGUGGGAACGUUCCUUUAGGUUCGGAAUAACUCAGGGAAACUUGUGCUAAUACCGAAUGUGCCCUUCUGGGGAAAGAUUUAUCGCCUUUAGAGCGGCCCGCGUCUGAUUAGCUAGUUGGUUGAGGUAAUGGCUCACCAAGGCGACGAUCAGUAGCUGGUCUGAGAGGAUGAUCAGCCACAUUGGGACUGAGACACGGCCCAAACUCCUACGGGAGGCAGCAGUGGGGAAUCUUGCGCAAUGGGCGAAAGCCUGACGCAGCCAUGCCGCGUGAAUGAUGAAGGUCUUAGGAUUGUAAAAUUCUUUAAACGGGGACGAUAAUGACGGUACCCGGAGAAGAAGCCCCGGCUAACUUCGUG